Molecule: ribosomal RNA, 406 nt
Filed under: uncultured bacterium
Lineage: Bacteria
Description: partial 16S ribosomal RNA
Rfam family: Bacterial small subunit ribosomal RNA
Source: RNAcentral
AUUGAACGCUGGCGGCAGGCCUAACACAUGCAAGUCGAACGAGUGGCGGACGGGUGAGUAAUGUCUGGGCAACUGCCUGAUGGAGGGGGAUAACUACUGGAAACGGUAUCUAAUACCGCAUACCAUCGGAUGUGCCCAGAUGGGAUUAGCUAGUAGGUGGGGUAACGGCUCACCUAGGCGGCGAUCCCUAGCUGGUCUGAGAGGAUGACCAGCCACACUGGAACUGAGACACGGGCCAGACUCCUACGGGAGGCAGCAGUGGGGAAUAUUGCACAAUGGGGUCAAGCCUGAUGCAGCCAUGCCGCGUGUAUGAAGAAGGCCUUCGGGUUGUAAAGUACGUUCAGCGGGGAGGCGUUACCCGAAGAAGAAGCACCGGCUAACUCCGUGCCAGCAGCCGCGGUAAUUC